GUGAUUUAAAGUUGCUGCGUUUAAAACGCUCGUAGUUGGAUCACGCAGUAGCAUACAGUUACACAGAUUGGUUUAUUUGACGAUUUUCUUUCAAAGAUUAUUGAAUUUUGACUGGUCUGUGUGUUAACGCUGUAUGCUACUAUUUGCACACAAGUAUGGUAUUUGGCCUUAAGUGAGUCGAGUAUCAUGUCUUGUGGGGUGUGCCUUGAAUAAAACAGAGUGCUCAAAGCAGGCGAACGCUUGAAUGUUAUAGCAUGGAACGAACAAACGUGUAUUUGCGUAUAUUCGAUUAGGUCGAGGGCAACUUUGACCUGUUGGAUAUAUGCAGCACCCGCCAAAAUACGGAUGUUGGUUUUCGUAUCAGGUGAUGAUUAACAGGAGCGGUUGGGGGCAUUGGUAUUUGGCCGCGAGAGGUGAAAUUCUUGGACCGGCCAAGGACUAACAGAUGCGAAGGCGUUUGUCUAGACCGUUUCCAUUAAUCAAGAACGAAAGUGGGAGGUUCGAAGACGAUCAGAUACCGUCCUAGUUCCCACUAUAAACUAUGCCGACCUGGGAUCAGUUUAGUGAUUAACAAGCACUAGGUUGGUCCCCCUGGGAAACCUAAAGUUUUUCGGUUACGGGGAGAGUAUGGUCGCAAGUCUGAAACUUAAAGGAAUUGACGGAAGGGCACCACCAGGGGUGGAGCCUGCGGCUUAAUUUGAC
RNAcentral lists this ribosomal RNA (702 nucleotides) under Myxobolus carassii. RNAcentral's name for it is "bacterial SSU rRNA". It matches the Rfam family "Eukaryotic small subunit ribosomal RNA", at positions 599 to 1199 of the family's 1831-position model. Lineage: Eukaryota; Metazoa; Cnidaria; Myxozoa; Bivalvulida; Myxobolidae. The record is from RNAcentral.